RNAcentral lists this long non-coding RNA (1509 nucleotides) under Heterocephalus glaber (naked mole-rat). Its description in RNAcentral is "lncRNA (ENSHGLG00100032808.1)". Lineage: Eukaryota; Metazoa; Chordata; Mammalia; Rodentia; Bathyergidae. The record is from RNAcentral.
UUGAUGGACUGAAACCUCUACAAACUGUGAGCCAAAUAAACCUUUCCUCCUUUAACUUUGGGCAUCAGGUAUUUUGUCUCAGCAAUGAGAAAAAUAACUGAGACAGUAACAUCUAGACUUCAACAUGCAUCUAUUUUUAAAACUGAAAUUAAUGGACAGACUAAAAACAUCCUCUAAGGGCAAUAGAAAAUACAUACUGAAUAAAACAAGCCAGAGUUGGGAAAGAUGCUCUCCCAGAAUGACAAAAUCAGCAAUAUCAGUUUUACCUAGAUGUUUUUCCCUUUGCAGACUUAGUUAUGUAGUUAUCUUAAUAUUCAUAAAUAGGGUGCCAAACUUAAGAACUACGUAGAAAUUAUUAACCUAUAUUUAAGAGUACAUUUUUGCUUCUUGUGUGAGAGUAAUUUAUAGAAGAUGAUGCUCCCUCUGCGAAUAACUAGAAAAAUUAAAUAAAGUACAGAAAUCUUAUAUUUCAAGGCCUCAGAAAGCUGUGUAAGCAGCAAGACCCUGAAAGGAAAGGGAGCUCAUUGAGAGAAGCCUGACUUUGGCAAUCAAGUUUCCCCUGAAGGUGAGCACAGCAUGACCUGCCAGUUCCUAUAGAAAUUCAUACAUAACUGAACCAAAAGACAGGCAAGAAAGCUCAUAUGUUUAUUACUUGCAACAAUACCAACUUGAAAACUACCCAAACAUCUUUGAGCAGCAGAGUGGAUGAAUAAAUUGAGACAUAUUUCCAUACAAGACAUUCAGAAUGAAAUAAUUACAGCUGUAUGAAACCCCGUGGAUGAAUCUCAUAAAGGUAACACCGAAUAUCCUGUUAAAUAGUUGGAAAUCCUGCAAUUUAAUCUGUAGUGUUAGAAGUCAAGAUAAUGGUAACUUUGGAUCUUUGAUCAUGGUGAAAAUAGGAGUGGGGAAGAGGUUCUUUUACUAAGUCCUGGAAAUGUUCUUGUUUCUGACACUGACUGUCUAUAUUCCCUUUGUGGAAAUUCAGCAAAUAGAGUUUGUGUGUGUGUGUGUGUGUGUGUGUGUGUGUGUGUGGUAUUAGUGCUUUUCCUCAUGUAUGUCACAGCUUCCCAACAUUCUUACUUCAAAAAAUUUAUGAGAAAGAAUGUCUCUUGUACUGGUUUUCUGAUAUCCUUGGAGCAAAUCUAUCUCACAGAAGCGCCUUAGAUUAUCAGAGAGUGACUGGAGGCAAGAGAAUGUGAUCACUCAGAAUCUAAAUUGGGUAGCAGUGCUGGAAGGUGGUAGAACAUUUGAAAGAAUUUAAACCUAAGACAAUCUGCCAUCAGAGUGCAUGCACCUUUAGUUGUUUUCUCUGAGAUUCUCUGCCGGCCAACACCAGCAUGACUGCUCAUUUUGAACAGUAUCCUUACCCACCCUGGGCCCCACUGCUCUGAGAGCCUUUUGUUGGCCACUUCCCAGGCCCACUGUGCAGCCACUGCCCCCUACACACACCAGGUGGCAGGACUGAGAUACUCUUCUGCAGCAGUGGAUCCAUCUUUACCCCUUUCUUCG